AACGAACGCUGGCGGCAGGCUUAACACAUGCAAGUCGAACGCACCUUUCGGGGUGAGUGGCCGACGGGUGAGUAACGCGUGGGAAUCUACCCUUCUCUACGGGAUAGCUCCGGGAAACUGGAAUUAAUACCGUAUACGUCCUGAGGGCGAAAGAUUUAUCGGGGCAGGUUGAGCCCGCGUUGGAUUAGCUAGUUGGUGGGGUAAAGGCCUACCAAGGCGACGAUCCAUAGCUGGUCUAAGAGGAUGGUCAGCCACAUUGGGACUGAGACACGGCCCAAACUCCUACGGGAGGCAGGAGUGGGUAAUAUUGGACAAUGGGCGGAAGCCUGAACCAGCCAGGCCGGGUGAGUGAUGAAGGCCCUAGAGUUGUAAAGCGCUUUCAGUGGGGACGAUAAUGACGGUACCCACAGAAGAAGCCCCGGCUAACUUCGUG
RNAcentral lists this ribosomal RNA (433 nucleotides) under uncultured bacterium. Its description in RNAcentral is "partial 16S ribosomal RNA". It matches the Rfam family "Bacterial small subunit ribosomal RNA", at positions 29 to 507 of the family's 1533-position model. The record is from RNAcentral.